Crucibulum laeve is the source of this 107-nucleotide non-coding RNA. The record is from the annotation of a GenBank genome assembly. Lineage: Eukaryota; Fungi; Basidiomycota; Agaricomycetes; Agaricales; Nidulariaceae.
GCCUUCUUGGCUCAGUUGGCUAGAGCGCAGGUCUCAUAGCUUGUCUGUGAGUAAGCAUUGGCUUACGUAUAAUCCUGAGGUCGCAAGUUCGAGCCUUGCAGAGGGCA